This 408-nucleotide ribosomal RNA is filed under the name uncultured bacterium. RNAcentral describes it as "partial 16S ribosomal RNA". It matches the Rfam family "Bacterial small subunit ribosomal RNA", at positions 29 to 526 of the family's 1533-position model. The record is from RNAcentral.
AGUGAACGCUGGCGGCGUGCCUAAUACAUGCAAGUCGAACGGAGUGGCGCACGGGCGAGUAAUGUAUAGCUAAUCUGCCCUACACUAGAGGACAACAGUUGGAAACGACUGCUAAUACUCUAUAGUGUCGUAUGAGGCGAUAUUGUAUCAGCUAGUUGGUGAGGUAAUGGCUCACUAAGGAUAUGACGCAUAACUGGUCUGAGAGGAUGAUCAGUCACACUGGAACGUAGACACGGUCGAGACUCCUACGGGAGUCAGCAGUAGGGAAUUUUGCUCAAUGGGGGUGUCCCUUAAGCAGCAACGCCGUGGAGAGGAUUACACGUUUCGGAGCGUAAACUCCUGUUAUUAGGGAAGCGUUACCUAACGAAUAAGCACCGGCUAACUCCGUGCCAGCAGCCGCGGUAAUAC